This is a long non-coding RNA of Leopardus geoffroyi (Geoffroy's cat), 1262 nucleotides long. RefSeq lists it as uncharacterized. Lineage: Eukaryota; Metazoa; Chordata; Mammalia; Carnivora; Felidae. The record is from RefSeq and is a predicted model, not a curated record. The transcript is spliced from 4 exons.
UCGGGGUGCUGGAAAGAGAUCUGGGGUGCUGAGGAGCAAUGGGGGGGGUAAGGAGGAAGCAGGGGGUCGGGGAGGACCAGGGCCACCCGGGAGAGGAGCCGAGCGUUGAGGGGGACGCCGAAGAAGGGGCGCGAGGGCGCCAUGAGCUGGGGGGGGGGGGGGGUGCAGCUGGUCGCGAACCCUGGAGAGGAGCCGCAGGCGUCGGGGGUGCCCUCCCCCGCCGACGCUAACCCCCUGGUCCCCCCCGCCACCUACCCGGGGUCCCGCUCCGUCCUCUGCGCGGGGGCUGGUGGCCCGGCGACGGGGCCCACGACUGGCGGAGCGCGGACGGCGCUCAGACGGCUCCACCCCUGGCCUCCGCCCGCCCCUUCCGCGCCCCGCAGGGAGCCUGGCAGGAAGGGCCAAUGAAAAUCAUAAUGCCUCUGACCAGAUUUCUUUGCCAGUGUGGAGACGCUCGGAGCCUCUUCUGAAAACACCAUCGCGACUCCCGGGGCAAAGGGUCCCACCAGCCACAUGAUGGGCGUGUUCUGGGCCACGUACUCAACCAUGUGGUCAAGGGCCUCUCGGGCCUUGGCCACCUGCUCUCGGCUCUGCGUCAGGAUAGUGCUGGACAGGUCCUGGAAGGAAUGGACGCCAGAAAAGGUGGCCUGGAGGCCCUCCACCUGGUGGCGAGCCUGCUGAACCUGGUCCUUCACGUGGGAGGGCAGCCCCUGGAUGCUGGACCCCAGCGAGGCACAGGUGUUCUGCAGCUGCUGGGCAAUGUCGCGGAACAUGGUAUCUACCCAGGAGAAAUGGAGACGCGACCAUACACGGGCUGGGGCUGGUCACAGGACGUGAUCCACAGGAGGCAAAAGUGGAGACAACCCAGAAGCCCAUCAGCUUGUAAACGGGUAAACAAAACCCACACAGGGGAACGUCACUGGGGCCUCGAGCAGGAGCGAGGCGCCCACCCCUGCUGCCCCGCAGUCGGACCCUGAACACACGACCCUCAGGGAGGGAACCGGACACGGGAGGCCCCACAGAAUGUGAAACGGCCAGAACAGGCUCAUCCACAGACAGGAAGGGGGUUCGUGGGUGCUGGGGACAAAGAGCGUCUGCUACAACGGGGACAAGAUCUCCUUUGGGGUUGGUGGGAACGUUCUAAAUGCACCGUGGCGAUGUUCGCACAGCCCUGUGACCACGCGAGAAACCACUGGAUCAUCUGCAUGGGUGAACCGUAUGGCAUGUGAAUUAUAUCUCAAUAAAGCUUUUUUUUUUUUUUU